AGUGAACGCUGGCGGUAGGCCUAACACAUGCAAGUCGAACGGCAGCACAGUAAGAGCUUGCUCUUACGGGUGGCGAGUGGCGGACGGGUGAGGAAUACAUCGGAAUCUACUUUUUCGUGGGGGAUAACGUAGGGAAACUUACGCUAAUACCGCAUACGACCUACGGGUGAAAGCAGGGGAUCUUCGGACCUUGCGCGAUUGAAUGAGCCGAUGUCGGAUUAGCGAGUUGGCGGGGUAAAGGCCCACCAAGGCGACGAUCCGUAGCUGGUCUGAGAGGAUGAUCAGCCACACUGGAACUGAGACACGGUCCAGACUCCUACGGGAGGCAGCAGUGGGGAAUAUUGGACAAUGGGCGCAAGCCUGAUCCAGCCAUACCGCGUGGGUGAAGAAGGCCUUCGGGUUGUAAAGCCCUUUUGUUUGGAAAGAAAAGCAGCAGGUUAAUACCCCGCUGUUCUGACGGUACCCAAAGAAUAAGCACCGGCUAACUUCGUG
RNAcentral lists this ribosomal RNA (492 nucleotides) under uncultured bacterium. RNAcentral's name for it is "partial 16S ribosomal RNA". It matches the Rfam family "Bacterial small subunit ribosomal RNA", at positions 29 to 507 of the family's 1533-position model. The record is from RNAcentral.